Molecule: transfer RNA, 75 nt
Filed under: Chloroflexota bacterium
Lineage: Bacteria; Bacillati; Chloroflexota
Description: Chloroflexi bacterium (groundwater metagenome) tRNA-Thr
Rfam family: tRNA
About the family: Transfer RNA (tRNA) molecules are approximately 80 nucleotides in length. Their secondary structure includes four short double-helical elements and three loops (D, anti-codon, and T loops).
Source: RNAcentral
GCCAGCGUAGCUCAGUGGUAGAGCAGCGGUUUCGUAAACCGCUGGUCAAGAGUUCGACUCUCUUCGCUGGCUCCA